GACCGAUAGUGAACCAGUACCGUGAGGGAAAGGCGAAAAGAACCCCGGCGAGGGGAGUGAAAAAGAACCUGAAACCGUGUACGUACAAGCAGUGGGAGCAUGCUUAGGCGUGUGACUGCGUACCUUUUGUAUAAUGGGUCAGCGACUUAUAUUCUGUAGCAAGGUUAACCGAAUAGGGGAGCCGAAGGGAAACCGAGUCUUAACUGGGCGUUAAGUUGCAGGGUAUAGACCCGAAACCCGGUGAUCUAGCCAUGGGCAGGUUGAAGGUUGGGUAACACUAACUGGAGGACCGAACCGACUAAUGUUGAAAAAUUAGCGGAUGACUUGUGGCUGGGGGUGAAAGGCCAAUCAAACCGGGAGAUAGCUGGUUCUCCCCGAAAGCUAUUUAGGUAGCGCCUCGUGAAUUCAUCUCCGGGGGUAGAGCACUGUUUCGGCAAGGGGGUCAUCCCGACUUACCAACCCGAUGCAAACUGCGAAUACCGGAGAAUGUUAUCACGGGAGACACACGGCGGGUGCUAACGUCCGUCGUGAAGAGGGAAACAACCCAGACCGCCAGCUAAGGUCCCAAAGUCAUGGUUAAGUGGGAAACGAUGUGGGAAGGCCCAGACAGCCAGGAUGUUGGCUUAGAAGCAGCCAUCAUUUAAAGAAAGCGUAAUAGCUCACUGGUCGAGUCGGCCUGCGCGGAAGAUGUAACGGGGCUAAACCAUGCACCGAAGCUGCGGCAGCGACGCUGAUGCGUUGUUGGGUAGGGGAGCGUUCUGUAAGCCUGCGAAGGUGUGCUGUGAGGCAUGCUGGAGGUAUCAGAAGUGCGAAUGCUGACAUAAGUAACGAUAAAGCGGGUGAAAAGCCCGCUCGCCGGAAGACCAAGGGUUCCUGUCCAACGUUAAUCGGGGCAGGGUGAGUCGACCCCUAAGGCGAGGCCGAAAGGCGUAGUCGAUGGGAAACAGGUUAAUAUUCCUGUACUUGGUGUUACUGCGAAGGGGGGACGGAGAAGGCUAUGUUGGCCGGGCGACGGUUGUCCCGGUUUAAGCGUGUAGGCUGGUUUUCCAGGCAAAUCCGGAAAAUCAAGGCUGAGGCGUGAUGACGAGGCACUACGGUGCUGAAGCAACAAAUGCCCUGCUUCCAGGAAAAGCCUCUAAGCAUCAGGUAACAUCAAAUCGUACCCCAAACCGACACAGGUGGUCAGGUAGAGAAUACCAAGGCGCUUGAGAGAACUCGGGUGAAGGAACUAGGCAAAAUGGUGCCGUAACUUCGGGAGAAGGCACGCUGAUAUGUAGGUGAAGUCCCUCGCGGAUGGAGCUGAAAUCAGUCGAAGAUACCAGCUGGCUGCAACUGUUUAUUAAAAACACAGCACUGUGCAAACACGAAAGUGGACGUAUACGGUGUGACGCCUGCCCGGUGCCGGAAGGUUAAUUGAUGGGGUUAGCGCAAGCGAAGCUCUUGAUCGAAGCCCCGGUAAACGGCGGCCGUAACUAUAACGGUCCUAAGGUAGCGAAAUUCCUUGUCGGGUAAGUUCCGACCUGCACGAAUGGCGUAAUGAUGGCCAGGCUGUCUCCACCCGAGACUCAGUGAAAUUGAACUCGCUGUGAAGAUGCAGUGUACCCGCGGCAAGACGGAAAGACCCCGUGAACCUUUACUAUAGCUUGACACUGAACAUUGAGCCUUGAUGUGUAGGAUAGGUGGGAGGCUUUGAAGUGUGGACGCCAGUCUGCAUGGAGCCGACCUUGAAAUACCACCCUUUAAUGUUUGAUGUUCUAACGUGGACCCGUAAUCCGGGUUGCGGACAGUGUCUGGUGGGUAGUUUGACUGGGGCGGUCUCCUCCUAAAGAGUAACGGAGGAGCACGAAGGUUGGCUAAUCCUGGUCGGACAUCAGGAGGUUAGUGCAAUGGCAUAAGCCAGCUUGACUGCGAGCGUGACGGCGCGAGCAGGUGCGAAAGCAGGUCAUAGUGAUCCGGUGGUUCUGAAUGGAAGGGCCAUCGCUCAACGGAUAAAAGGUACUCCGGGGAUAACAGGCUGAUACCGCCCAAGAGUUCAUAUCGACGGCGGUGUUUGGCACCUCGAUGUCGGCUCAUCACAUCCUGGGGCUGAAGUAGGUCCCAAGGGUAUGGCUGUUCGCCAUUUAAAGUGGUACGCGAGCUGGGUUUAGAACGUCGUGAGACAGUUCGGUCCCUAUCUGCCGUGGGCGCUGGAGAACUGAGGGGGGCUGCUCCUAGUACGAGAGGACCGGAGUGGACGCAUCACUGGUGUUCGGGUUGUCAUGCCAAUGGCACUGCCCGGUAGCUAAAUGCGGAAGAGAUAAGUGCUGAAAGCAUCUAAGCACGAAACUUGCCCCGAGAUGAGUUCUCCCUGACCCUUGAGAGUCCUGAAGGAACGUUGAAGACGACGACGUUGAUAGGCCGGGUGUGUAAGCGCAGCGAUGCGUUGAGCUAACCGGUACUAAUGAACCGUGAGGCUUAACCU
RNAcentral lists this ribosomal RNA (2461 nucleotides) under Escherichia coli 3-020-07_S3_C2. RNAcentral describes it as "bacterial LSU rRNA". It matches the Rfam family "Bacterial large subunit ribosomal RNA", at positions 482 to 2925 of the family's 2925-position model. The record is from RNAcentral. Lineage: Bacteria; Pseudomonadati; Pseudomonadota; Gammaproteobacteria; Enterobacterales; Enterobacteriaceae.